AUGGGUCCUAUCCCUAGUAUCUUUCGAAUUAUGACUAAGCUCACUACAUUACACCUCGAUGAUAAUCAAUUCUCUGGAAAUGUUCCGCAAGAAAUUGGCGCCUUAAAGGAUCUUGAAAAUCUGCAAUUUGAUGGUAACAAUCUCUCGGGUCCGUUGCCACCUGGGUUGUGUUCCGGAGGUCGGCUCAAGAAUUUUACUACAUAUGACAACAAUCUGACAGGACCACUACCACCAAGUUUGAUACAUUGCAGAAGCCUCGUUAGAGUUCGUUUGGAAAGGAAUCAAAUAACAGGAGAUAUUUCUGAGUUGGGAGUUGAUCCAAAUCUUCUCUAUAUGGAUCUGAGCUCAAAUAAAUUAUUUGGCCAAUUAGCUUCUCACUGGACGGAAAGUGGUAAUCUUACCAUGCUAUGCCUCUCAAACAACAACCUCACGGGGGAAAUACCCACAAGUAUGGGGCAACUGCCUCAGCUAGGGGUGCUUGACCUUUCAUUAAACAACCUCGAAGGAGAUAUUCCAAGUGAAUUUGGUAAUCUGAAAUUUUUGUUCCAGUUGAGUCUUGAAGACAAUUUUCUCCAUGGAAGCAUACCACAAGAAAUUGGAGCACUGUCCAAUCUAGAGUUGUUGGAUUUGUCAUCAAAUAACCUAAGUGGUUUGGUACAUGAAUCAAUUGGGAAUUUUUAA
RNAcentral lists this ribosomal RNA (681 nucleotides) under Triticum aestivum (bread wheat). Its description in RNAcentral is "partial small subunit ribosomal RNA". The record is from RNAcentral. Lineage: Eukaryota; Viridiplantae; Streptophyta; Magnoliopsida; Poales; Poaceae.